AUUGAACGCUGACGGCAUGCUUUACACAUGCAAGUCGAACGGUAACAGGCCUUCGGGUGCUGACGAGUGGCGAACGGGUGAGUAAUGCAUCGGAACGUACCCAGAGGUGGGGGAUAACGCAGCGAAAGCUGUGCUAAUACCGCAUGUGAUCUGAGGAUGAAAGCGGGGGACCGAGCAGCAAUGUUUGGCCUCGCGCCUUUGGAGCGGCCGAUGUCGGAUUAGCUAGUUGGUGGGGUAAAGGCCUACCAAGGCGACGAUCCGUAGCUGGUCUGAGAGGACGACCAGCCACACUGGGACUGAGACACGGCCCAGACUCCUACGGGAGGCAGCAGUGGGGAAUUUUGGACAAUGGGCGCAAGCCUGAUCCAGCAAUGCCGCGUGCGGGAAGAAGGCCUUCGGGUUGUAAACCGCUUUUGGCAGGAACGAAACGGUGUCCGCUAAUACCGGGCGCUAAUGACGGUACCUGCAGAAUAAGCACCGGCUAACUACGUG
Molecule: ribosomal RNA, 492 nt
Filed under: uncultured bacterium
Lineage: Bacteria
Description: partial 16S ribosomal RNA
Rfam family: Bacterial small subunit ribosomal RNA
Source: RNAcentral